CCUACGGGUGGCAGCAGUGAGGAAUAUUGGUCAAUGGCCGGAAGGCUGAACCAGCCAAGCCGCGUGAAGGACGAAGGUGCCAAGCAUUGUAAACUUCUUUUGUCAAGGGACAAAAUCAGGCUCGAGAGCCUGACCGAGGGUACUUGAAGAAAAAGCAUCGGCUAACACCGUGCCAGCAGCCGCGGUAAUACGGAGGAUGCGAGCGUUAUCCGGAUUUAUUGGGUUUAAAGGGUGCGUAGGCGGGCGGUUAAGUCAGCGGUAAAAGGCCGGGGCUCAAACCCGGCGAGCCGUUGAAACUGGGUGUCUUGAGAUGUCGAGAGGUAUGCGGAAGGCGCGGUGUAGCGGUGAAAUGCUUAGAUAUUGCGCAGAACUCCGAUUGCGAAGGCAGCAUACCGGCGGCGAUCUGACGCUGAGGCACGAAAGCGUGGGUAUCGAACAGGAUUAGAUACCCUUGUAGUC
RNAcentral lists this ribosomal RNA (459 nucleotides) under uncultured bacterium. RNAcentral describes it as "partial 16S ribosomal RNA". It matches the Rfam family "Bacterial small subunit ribosomal RNA", at positions 338 to 795 of the family's 1533-position model. The record is from RNAcentral.